GACGUAGGGCGCGAGCGUUGUCCGGAUUUAUUGGGCGUAAAGAGCUCGUAGGCGGCUUGUUGCGUCGACUGUGAAAACCCGCGGCUUAACUGCGGGCUUGCAGUUGAUACGGGCAGGCUAGAGUUCGGUAGGGGAGACUGGAAUUCCUGGUGUAGCGGUGAAAUGCGCAGAUAUCAGGAGGAACACCGGUGGCGAAGGCAGCUCUCUGGGACGGUACUGACGCUGAGACGCGAAAGCGUGGGGAGCGAUCAGG
RNAcentral lists this ribosomal RNA (253 nucleotides) under uncultured bacterium. Its description in RNAcentral is "partial 16S ribosomal RNA". It matches the Rfam family "Bacterial small subunit ribosomal RNA", at positions 524 to 776 of the family's 1533-position model. The record is from RNAcentral.